RNAcentral lists this ribosomal RNA (1119 nucleotides) under Bacillus sp. (in: firmicutes). RNAcentral's name for it is "bacterial SSU rRNA". It matches the Rfam family "Bacterial small subunit ribosomal RNA", at positions 70 to 1173 of the family's 1533-position model. The record is from RNAcentral. Lineage: Bacteria; Bacillati; Bacillota; Bacilli; Caryophanales; Bacillaceae.
GAUGGGAGCUUAGCUCCCUGAUGUUAGCGGCGGACGGGUGAGUAACACGUGGGUAACCUGCCUGUAAGACUGGGAUAACUCCGGGAAACCGGGGCUAAUACCGGAUGGUUGUUUGAACCGCAUGGUUCAGACAUAAAAGGUGGCUUCGGCUACCACUUACAGAUGGACCCGCGGCGCAUUAGCUAGUUGGUGAGGUAACGGCUCACCAAGGCGACGAUGCGUAGCCGACCUGAGAGGGUGAUCGGCCACACUGGGACUGAGACACGGCCCAGACUCCUACGGGAGGCAGCAGUAGGGAAUCUUCCGCAAUGGACGAAAGUCUGACGGAGCAACGCCGCGUGAGUGAUGAAGGUUUUCGGAUCGUAAAGCUCUGUUGUUAGGGAAGAACAAGUGCCGUUCAAAUAGGGCGGCACCUUGACGGUACCUAACCAGAAAGCCACGGCUAACUACGUGCCAGCAGCCGCGGUAAUACGUAGGUGGCAAGCGUUGUCCGGAAUUAUUGGGCGUAAAGGGCUCGCAGGCGGUUUCUUAAGUCUGAUGUGAAAGCCCCCGGCUCAACCGGGGAGGGUCAUUGGAAACUGGGGAACUUGAGUGCAGAAGAGGAGAGUGGAAUUCCACGUGUAGCGGUGAAAUGCGUAGAGAUGUGGAGGAACACCAGUGGCGAAGGCGACUCUCUGGUCUGUAACUGACGCUGAGGAGCGAAAGCGUGGGGAGCGAACAGGAUUAGAUACCCUGGUAGUCCACGCCGUAAACGAUGAGUGCUAAGUGUUAGGGGGUUUCCGCCCCUUAGUGCUGCAGCUAACGCAUUAAGCACUCCGCCUGGGGAGUACGGUCGCAAGACUGAAACUCAAAGGAAUUGACGGGGGCCCGCACAAGCGGUGGAGCAUGUGGUUUAAUUCGAAGCAACGCGAAGAACCUUACCAGGUCUUGACAUCCUCUGACAAUCCUAGAGAUAGGACGUCCCCUUCGGGGGCAGAGUGACAGGUGGUGCAUGGUUGUCGUCAGCUCGUGUCGUGAAAUGUUGGGUUAAGUCCCGCAACGAGCGCAACCCUUGAUCUUAGUUGCCAGCAUUCAGUUGGGCACUCUAAGGUGACUGCCGGUGACAAACCGGGAGGAAGG